Molecule: ribosomal RNA, 502 nt
Filed under: uncultured bacterium
Lineage: Bacteria
Description: partial 16S ribosomal RNA
Rfam family: Bacterial small subunit ribosomal RNA
Source: RNAcentral
AUUGAACGCUGGCGGAAUGCUUUACACAUGCAAGUCGAACGGCAGCAUAGGUGCUUGCACCUGAUGGCGAGUGGCGAACGGGUGAGUAAUACAUCGGAACGUGCCCAGUCGUGGGGGAUAACGUAGCGAAAGUUACGCUAAUACCGCAUACGAUCUAAGGAUGAAAGCGGGGGACCGUAAGGCCUUGCGCGAUUGGAGCGGCCGAUGUCAGAUUAGGUAGUUGGUGAGGUAAAGGCUCACCAAGCCGACGAUCUGUAGCUGGUCUGGGAGGACGACCAGCCACACUGGGAGUGAGACACGGCCCAGACUCCUACGGGAGGCAGCAGUGGGGAAUUUUGGACAAUGGACGCAAGUCUGAUCCAGCCAUUCCGCGUGCAGGACGAAGGCCUUCGGGUUGUAAACUGCUUUUGUACGGAACGAAAAAGCUCUUACUAAUACUAGGAGUCCAUGACGGUACCGUGAGAAUAAGCACCGGCUAACUACGUGCCAGCCGCCGCCGUAA